UGGAGCAAUCCAUGAGUAAAGCGGCGCACGGGUGAGUAACACGUGACUAACCUACCCUCGAGUGGGGAAUAACUUCGGGAAACCGAGGCUAAUACCGCAUAAUACCCACGGGUCAAAGGAGAAAUCCGCUUGAGGAGGGGGUCGCGGCCGAUUAGUUAGUUGGCGGGGUAAUGGCCCACCAAGACGAUGAUCGGUAUCCGGCCUGAGAGGGCGCACGGACACACUGGAACUGAAACACGGUCCAGACUCCUACGGGAGGCAGCAGUGGGGAAUUUUGCGCAAUGGGGGAAACCCUGACGCAGCAACGCCGCGUGGAGGAUGAAGUCCUUCGGGACGUAAACUCCUUUCGAUCGGGACGAUUAUGACGGUACCGGAAGAAGAAGCCCCGGCUAACUUCGUGCCAGCAGCCGCGGUAAUACGAGGGGGGCGAGCGUUGUUCCGAAUUAUUGGGCGUAAAGGGUGCGUUCGCGGU
This 472-nucleotide ribosomal RNA is filed under the name uncultured bacterium. RNAcentral's name for it is "bacterial SSU rRNA". It matches the Rfam family "Bacterial small subunit ribosomal RNA", at positions 75 to 579 of the family's 1533-position model. The record is from RNAcentral.